This 350-nucleotide ribosomal RNA is filed under the name uncultured soil bacterium. RNAcentral describes it as "bacterial SSU rRNA". It matches the Rfam family "Bacterial small subunit ribosomal RNA", at positions 26 to 404 of the family's 1533-position model. The record is from RNAcentral.
AGAACGAACGCUGGCGGCAUGCCUAAUACAUGCAAGUCGAACGAACUCUUCGGAGUUAGUGGCGCACGGGUGCGUAACGCGUGGGAAUCUGCCCUUGGGUUCGGAAUAACAGUUGGAAACGACUGCUAAUACCGGAUGAUGACGAAAGUCCAAAGAUUUAUCGCCCAGGGAUGAGCCCGCGUAGGAUUAGCUAGUUGGUGAGGUAAAGGCUCACCAAGGCGACGAUCCUUAGCUGGUCUGAGAGGAUGAUCAGCCACACUGGGACUGAGACACGGCCCAGACUCCUACGGGAGGCAGCAGUAGGGAAUAUUGGACAAUGGGCGAAAGCCUGAUCCAGCCAUGCCGCGUGU